UACCACACCAAGCUUUUCAUUGCCGCAAAACACAGAGGCUCUGGAUAAAAAGUUGUGGUUACAGCAAAUAAUUUCGGUAGCGAUUAAACUGCACUUGGCAAAAUUAUGCCAGCCAUUUGCGGUUAACAACUGCUGAAACAA
This 141-nucleotide small nucleolar RNA is filed under the name Drosophila grimshawi. Its description in RNAcentral is "snoRNA:GH25878". Lineage: Eukaryota; Metazoa; Arthropoda; Insecta; Diptera; Drosophilidae. The record is from RNAcentral.